UCGGGAUAGCUCAGCUGGUAGAGCAGAGGACUGAAAAUCCUCGU
Molecule: transfer RNA, 44 nt
Filed under: Rubus idaeus (red raspberry)
Lineage: Eukaryota; Viridiplantae; Streptophyta; Magnoliopsida; Rosales; Rosaceae
Also listed under: 130 other names
Description: partial tRNA-Phe
Source: RNAcentral